RNAcentral lists this transfer RNA (62 nucleotides) under Ictidomys tridecemlineatus (thirteen-lined ground squirrel). RNAcentral's name for it is "Spermophilus tridecemlineatus (thirteen-lined ground squirrel) tRNA". It matches the Rfam family "tRNA". Rfam says of the family: Transfer RNA (tRNA) molecules are approximately 80 nucleotides in length. Their secondary structure includes four short double-helical elements and three loops (D, anti-codon, and T loops). Lineage: Eukaryota; Metazoa; Chordata; Mammalia; Rodentia; Sciuridae. The record is from Rfam by way of RNAcentral.
GGAGCUGUGGCUCAGUGGUAGAGUGCUUGCCUAGCAUGCAUGAGGCACAAUCCUCAGCACCA